This 474-nucleotide ribosomal RNA is filed under the name uncultured bacterium. Its description in RNAcentral is "bacterial SSU rRNA". It matches the Rfam family "Bacterial small subunit ribosomal RNA", at positions 33 to 518 of the family's 1533-position model. The record is from RNAcentral.
ACGCUGGCGGCGUGCUUAACACAUGCAAGUCGAGCGGAAAGGCCCCUUCGGGGGUACUCGAGCGGCGAACGGGUGAGUAACACGUGGGUAACCUGCCCUCAGCUCUGGAAUAACCCCGGGAAACCGAGGCUAAUACCGGAUACGAGACGUGACCGCAUGGUCUGCGUGUAGAAAGAUUUAUCGGCUGAGGAUGGACUCGCGGCCUAUCAGCUAGUUGGUGGGGUAAUUGCCUACCAAGGCGACGACGGGUAGCCGGCCUGAGAGGGCGACCGGCCACACUGGGACUGAGACACGGCCCAGACUCCUACGGGAGGCAGCAGUGGGGAAUAUUGCGCAAUGGGCGAAAGCCUGACGCCAGCAACGCCGCGUGAGGGAUGACGGCCUUCGGGUUGUAAACCUCUUUCAGCGCCGACGAAGCCUUCGGGCGACUGUAGGCGCAGAAGAAGCACCGGCUAACUACGUGCCAGCCGCCGC